AUUCUUCUUUCUCCCAGCGACAGGCCUCGGCUGGGAGCUGCGAGGCCCAGCUGUCUCGGAGGGCCGCUAGCUCUGCUGGGGCAGGCCAGGAGGAUGUAGGAGCCUAGAGAAGGGGCCUCCGCUUCCCUGCGCGAGGCCCCCACAGACCCAAACCAGCUGCAGCCGGGAACUCGGAUCAGAGCUGGAGAGGCCCUGUGGACCCCCAGGACACUGGUGGUCGCCUUGGGGAGGGGAGGGAGGCGGGCCGGGUUUUGUCCCUCUCUCUGAGGCCUGCAUUGAGGCCAGGCUGGGCCCGGGGAAGGUGACGGUCCGCGUCUCAGGCCUCGCGAAUGAGCAGCACCAGAGAAAGGAGCGAGCCCCUGCCAGGCGGUGACAGGUGUACUCUUCUCAGUGCCGAUUACCUGGAGCUGGGGCUGCCCUGCCCAGGGUCCUGGAGGGAGCACGGGUUUGGGCUGAGUCAAGCGUCCAAAGGAAUUGGGUGGUCCAGUCCAGCACUGAUGGUGGAACGCCCUGCCUAGAUGUGGACAAUUCUAGAAUGCUGGACAUGGGCAGGAAGCAACCCUGUCCCCCCUAGGUCUACCUUCCACGUCAUCCCUCUGCCCAGGAAGCAGUGACCGGAGUGGAGCCACGUGCCCACGUGAACCCAGUGAACAAGAGGCAGCGCUAGCCCAGCUCCAACUCUAGUCAUCAUGUUUGUGGGGAGAGGUCUAGGCACGUCUGCAAAGUGGGGGGCACUCACCCCUGGGUGCAAAACAAUUACGUGGGGUGGGAAGAAAAUACUAGAUUUUUUUUUUCUUUUUUUAGAUUCGGUCUCGCUCUGUUGCCUAGGCUGGAGUGCAGUGGCGGGAUCUCGGCUCACCGCAGUCUCCACCUCCCAGGUUCAAGCAAUUCUCCCACCUUAGCCUCCCGAGUAGCUGAUAUUACAGGCGUGCACCACCAUGACC
Molecule: long non-coding RNA, 944 nt
Filed under: Homo sapiens (human)
Lineage: Eukaryota; Metazoa; Chordata; Mammalia; Primates; Hominidae
Description: HSALNT0341533
Source: RNAcentral